UGGGGAAUAUUGGACAAUGGGGGCAACCCUGAUCCAGCAAUACCGCGUGUGUGAAGAAGGCCUUCGGGUUGUAAAGCACUUUUAGCAGGAAAGAAAGCCUGUGCGCUAAUACCGCAUGGUUUUGACGUUACCUGCAGAAAAAGCACCGGCUAACUCCGUGCCAGCAGCCGCGGUAAUACGGAGGGUGCGAGCGUUAAUCGGAAUUACUGGGCGUAAAGGGUGCGCAGGCGGUUCCGCAAGUCAGGCGUGAAAUCCCCGGGCUUAACCUGGGAAUUGCGCUUGAAACUACGAGACUAGAGUAUGGCAGAGGGAGGUGGAAUUCCACGUGUAGCGGUGAAAUGCGUAGAGAUGUGGAGGAACACCGAUGGCGAAGGCAGCCUCCUGGGCCAAUACUGACGCUCAUGCACGAAAGCGUGGGGAGCAAACAGGAUUAGAUACCCUGGUAGUCCACGCCCUAAACGAUGAUGACUAGUUGUUGGAGGAGUUAAAUCCUUUAGUAACGCAGCUAACGCGAGAAGUCAUCCGCCUGGGGAGUACGGUCGCAAGAUUA
RNAcentral lists this ribosomal RNA (550 nucleotides) under uncultured bacterium. Its description in RNAcentral is "bacterial SSU rRNA". It matches the Rfam family "Bacterial small subunit ribosomal RNA", at positions 355 to 896 of the family's 1533-position model. The record is from RNAcentral.